AUUUGGUGAUGUGACUCGGAUAGGGGGACCUCCCUUGGGAGAUCAGUACCCUGUCCUCCUGCUCUUUGCUCCGUGAGAAAGAUCCACCUACAACCUCAGGUCCUUAGACCAACCAGCCCAAGAAACAUCUCACCAAUUUCAAAUCCAGACCCCACUGGAAAUCGGACUGUCCAACUCACCUGACAGCCACUCCCACAGCCGCUGGAACUCUGGCCCAAGGCUCUCUGACUCCUUCCCAGAUCUUCUUGGCUUAGCGGCUGAAGACUGACGCUGCCCGAUCGCCUCGGAAGCCCCCUAGACCAUCACGGACGCCGAGCUUCGGGUAACUCUCACAGUGGAAGUGUGAAUCUUCACAACGGAAUCUUCACAACAUCUCUGCAAGAAGAAAACAGAUUCGGUUUACCUGAGACUCAACUUCAAUCCCUUGGACAGAAGAGUGCUAUGCUAGGUGCCAGAAACACAACUACAGAUUUCUACCUGGUGCAUGGCCAUCGCUCAUGAAGACUACAACUUCCAGCUUCCUUUGAAGAAAAAGAGGACUUGAUGGCAUUGUCGCUAAGUAAGAAAU
RNAcentral lists this long non-coding RNA (568 nucleotides) under Homo sapiens (human). RNAcentral's name for it is "long intergenic non-protein coding RNA, regulator of reprogramming". Lineage: Eukaryota; Metazoa; Chordata; Mammalia; Primates; Hominidae. The record is from RNAcentral.